Molecule: ribosomal RNA, 1041 nt
Filed under: Triticum aestivum (bread wheat)
Lineage: Eukaryota; Viridiplantae; Streptophyta; Magnoliopsida; Poales; Poaceae
Description: partial small subunit ribosomal RNA
Source: RNAcentral
AUGGCGCUGACGACGAUGUGGUGCUUCCUUGCUCGAGUUGUUUGGCUUGGAGAUGAGGAAGAGCUUCGGGGAGCAUCUAGACACAAUGAAGCAACGAGAGGUGGGCGGUGGUAUGAGAACUACAGCGGGGUGCUCGUGGCGGCUUCGGCCAUGAGGGAGAGACGAGGAACGAGGGAGAGAGUGAGAGGGAUUGGUUCGCAGGGACCAUCAUUGGUACCACGAGUCAACACGCCAAGAUACCUCCAAACGUCUGAACGCAGACAACAUCACUCACAUGCUCCGCCAGAUCGUUCACGCCCCAAGCAGGAAGAGACCGUUCUUCACCCACUCCCAGGGGUGCCACGCCCAUGCCCACGCCCACCUCGAGCCGUUAAAGAUGUAGCCGACAAGGUUUAUCUGAACGCCCCAGAAGAUCCUAGUAGUGCACACCCAACUCCUGCUCAGGGCUCAUCUAGCACACUUGGACCUGUAUUUCAAAUCUUCGAAGAUCCUCGACACGGGCUUGUUGAUCCGCCGGGUCGACCUCCACUUCGAGCCGUUAAAAGUGUAGCCGGCAAGGCUUAUCUCGACGGCCCCGAAGAUCCCACCACACACCCAGCUCCUGAUAAUGGUUCAUGCAACGCAUCUGAACCAGUAUCUGCUGGCAUCUUCGAUGAACCUCGACAUCCAGUUCCUGAUCCAUCAGCAAGGGGGCGUAGCGCCAUGACCAACGGCGACGAGCCUGCGCAGUGCACCGAGGAGCAUCCUAAGUACCCAGUUCCCGACAGUUCAACUAACGAGGGCCCUGUUGAGGAACAUCCUGCAUGCACAACUCCUGGUUACGGUUCAUGUAGCACACCUGAGCCUGUACCUGAGAAACCUCCCUGCGGCACCUCCGAAGAUGUUAAGCAGCGGGAUGUUGAUCCACCACCUCCCGCGCGCGAAAUCGUUGGACACCCAUUUCCUGAUCCGCGAGGUAGGGGGCGUAGCGCUUUGGCCGACGAGCCAGAGCAGUGCACCCAGGAGCCUCCCAAGUACCCAGCUCUGGACAAUUCCAAGUGA